Molecule: long non-coding RNA, 2432 nt
Organism: Sitodiplosis mosellana (orange wheat blossom midge)
Lineage: Eukaryota; Metazoa; Arthropoda; Insecta; Diptera; Cecidomyiidae
Exons: 4
Source: RefSeq, a predicted model, not a curated record
UAUUCCAUUCUUCCUGUUAAUUUGUUUAGGUUCUUGUGACGAAACCAGAUUUCUAUAAUGAAAACACCAGGAAAAAUCUAUUCUGCACUCUUUCUGAAUUGAUUAGCUUGAACAUUGUGCCAAUUAUAAAUACAAAUGAUGCUGUGUCACCACCGAUGUUUGUGGAACAUGAUGAUGUGGCACCUGGUGCAAAAGGCACUAAAAAGGGAAUUCAAAUAAGGGAUAAUGACAGCUUAUCGGCUUUACUUGCGGCGAAUAUUCAGGUAAUGGUGUCAACGGACAAAAUUUUGUUCGACCGUCCAUCCGAAGUGCCUCACGAGAAGAUCGGACGUCCGUUCGAAGUAGCCGAACUUUUUUUUUCAGACGACCGGAACCAAUUGGAUGUCCAAACUCUAUGGAGGCACUUCGAACAGCCGUGUGUUUCUUGCACGUUCGAGAAUCCUCGGCCGUUCGAACUCCGAAAUCUAGACAUCGUGUUUUACUGCUACGCUGAUGGUGUUUAGAUAUUUCACCACCAAUUUCGUUCAUUUGUUUUGUAAUGUCAAAACACACCAUCAGUUCGCUGUGUGUACAUUCUGGAGUUCGAACGGCCGAGAAACCCCGGGCGUCCGAGAAAAACACGGCUGGUCGAAGUGCUUUCAUAGAGAUCGGAAAUCCACUUGGUUCGUUCGGCUUGGUGGGAAAAAAAGGCUGCCACUUCGAAUGGAUAUCCGAAUUUCUAGUGAGACACUUCGGAUGGACAGUCGAACAAAAAUGCAAUUUUCCUCUGACCGUCCGUGUCCGCUGACACCUUUACAUUCAGGCAGAUUUAUUAAUACUGAUGUCCGACGUUGACGGCAUUUACAAUAAGCCACCGUGGGAAGAUGGAGCACGAUUAAUGCACACAUAUACAUCACAAGACCGUAACACAAUCGAAUUUGGAAAAAAAUCCAAAGUAUGUUUAUGCAAUAUACAUUAGGGUGUUUUUCAUAACCUGAAAAAUAAAAAUGGUAGAUUUUAAAUUAAAGAGGAAAAAAUUCUGUAUCAAUUAGUGGUGUUCACACAACGGAGCAAUCGAUAUUCACACCUCCCGAAGCAAAAAGUCUGCUUUUCCAUUCAAAUGUCUAAAUAACUCUCGCUCCGAAGCGUUGAACAAAUUCUACUUACCGUGAUAUGAUGCAUUGAACAAGUCAUAUCCAAAGAAUGCGGCGACAUUGUCAAACCGGAAAAUGAUCAUCAAAUAACGUCUAUAAAACCACUCUUGUACUGCGGUAAAUAAAGUUAGACACCUUAUAAACCUUAAAAUAGCCCACUAAGUGCAAGGCUUGAGAACUCUAAUAAACUAUUAGAAAAUAUUUGUUAAAAAAAACUUUAAUGCUAAACGCUGGAUUUUGAUUUAUGGAUUGAGUGGAACGCCGUCGUCAUCUGGUCGUCGCAGCAAUGCUGGAUGUAUCGGAAUGUCAAGCAGCGUGCAAAGACCUAAGUAAAUAGAAAACGAGCACACAAAUAACAAUUAAUUCAAGCGAAAACCAAGUCGAUUCCAAUUUUCAAAUGAAAUAUUAAUAGAUAAUGAACCUUUGUACAUGAUCAGUUUGGCUGCUGAUAUGUCCCGAUGCCAAAGUGAUUUGAGCAACUUGCGUGAUUGUGCAGCGUCUUCUGUUCCAGCGUUUUCAGCAGCAUUUGGUUGCCAGGUUUUGAAGAAGCGUUGCUUCUUUGACACCAAACGUCCUGAAUUUCGUUGGGUUAGAAUGGCUGCAAAAGCAUCACCUUGGUCGCGCAUUUCCUCCCAUGUACGCAUGAUUUUCCGUUGCAUUUGCAACACUCGUUUACUGACGUUCGUAUAGAUGGUUCUCGGAAGUCCAACACGUUCAUCUGGUUGGCAAUCGUUGCACUUCUUGUAUCGUUUGCUCUUCGUCCAUAUCGGGAACCGUUUGAAGCAUCGGGCACAAUGUUGCGAUGUCAUGUAUUCAUCCACCAACCGAACGACACAAUUGCCACGUCUUUUGAAGGCUGCAAUCAGCUUGCGAACGCCUGGACACCGCACGUACUUUUUGAUUCGGAUCGGGCAAUUUGGUGAAAUUUCGGCUGCUCCGAUGUUGAUGAUAGCUGUCUUGAAAUGUACCAGCUUACCGGCGAUGAGAUCAAUUGCACGACGCCAUUCAAUGUGUUUGUCCAAACGUAAGCGUGCAUAGUUUUUCUGACUGUAUGCCGCGAUACCAUCUUGGGACAUUCGCAGGCGAUGUUCGAUGUAAUGACGCCAAGAGAUGUUCCGUGGCGAUGGUGUCUGUCCAAUCUCUGCGGCGAUACGUUUGAGGUCUGCUUGUUCGUCAUACGUGAAGACUCGUGUCAUUCGUUCGGCUUUAAUAUUGCGCGCAUCUUGUUUCGAUUUCAGAUGGUAUUGUUUGAACGAAAUCUUCUCGUUGGUCUAAAAAUAAAAUGCAACAAAAGUGAAU